AAAAUGCGGUCCAAUUCACUAAAAAUGGUCAAAUCACCAUAAAAGCAAAAGUGGGGUAUCAUCAGACUGAAUUUGCCAUUAGCGAUACUGGUAUUGGUAUGUCCAAGGAUCAGAUGAAGAAUAUUUGGGAGCGGUAUUACAAGGCCGAUCCGUCACGUAAAAACACCAAAUAUGGUGAGUCCGGUUUGGGCAUGGCGAUUGUGCAUCAGUUAAUGGGGCAACACGGUGGCACCAUUCAUGUUGAUUCGACCCUAGGCAAAGGUACAACCUUUACGUUGACCUUCCCAGAUGAAGCGACAGCGCCUAAGCAAAAGCAGCCAGGAGCCGAUCAGCAGACCUCAUCAUGAAGAAGAGACAAGUUCAAGCAGCGUCAAGAUACACCAGAAAAAGGCCAUUAGGACCGUUCGAAAUGAUCAUCACGCUCACGUGAAUUGCCCGAUUUUGUUAAGCAAAAGUUUUGCCGCGUGUGAUGGCUGGCAGGGCUUUUACAAUGCAGUAGCUGCUUAGCCAAAAUUAUAUAACAAUUUUGGCUACUGGGUUGCGUCCAAAUCCUCACAACGACGGCUUUGCAUGGAAACGUGUAUAAUAGAAUUAAUAAACUAAAAGGAGACGCAUAUGACCAUUCGACGAAUACAACAAAAUGAUUUUGCUGAUGUAGAUGCCUUGUUACAUGCAGCAUUCAAUGCCAGCAAUCGCGGUUAUAACGGUGAGGCAGAGCUAGUUGCCGGACUGCGGCGUGAUCCUAAUUAUGAUUCAGCCCUUGAAGUUGUGGCGAUGAUGGACGGUCAUUAGGUCGGCUACGGGCUAAUGACCGCGGCCAGCAUUACGCCAGAUGCCCAUAUGCAAGGGGUGGCGCUGGCACCGUUAGCAGUUGCCCCUGAAUAUCAAGGCGGUGGCAUUGGGGUCGCGAUUGUGACUGAACUCGACAUGCGAGCAACUGAUUUGCGGCGUGAUUUUGUCAGUGUUGUCGGCGAUCGACAAUUCUUUGGCCGACUUGGCUUUCAAAAAGCAGCCAAGUACAAACUCGAUCCGCCUUUCCCAGUCGUCACUGAAGACCAUUUGAUUAAGGAACUUGUGCCUGGUGUUUUGGCAAGUGUUCGCGGCAAGGUCAAUUAUCCAGCACCUUUUUUGACCCAGAUAGCGAAUUAAUCAUUGAGACCACCACAUUAAAAAAUGAGCCGCGUUGUUCAAAACGCGACUCAUUUUUUAAUUAUUUUUGUUUUUCUUGAUCCUUGUCGUGAUGAUGAGCCAUGCGGAUUGACCCAAUACACAGACCGCCAGUGACUAAAGCACUUCCCAUGAGUGCAUUGUCGCUAACAUGCGGCCAGCAUUCAAUGAAGACGACAAAGCCAAUGAUGACCGCGACUACCACAAAAUGCCAUGAGAAAUGAUGUGGAUGAUAUGUAUGCUGUACCUUCAUGUGAAGGCCCCCUUAUAAAUGCGUUCGCAGGCGCAGAAACCUGUCCAUAAACAUUUGAAACCCAACUGGUCAAAGACCCAUUCAUUUAAGCUUCAAGUCACGGAUGUUCAGGUUUCUAAACGUGUCCGCGCACGCUUUGUAUGAAUUA
Molecule: ribosomal RNA, 1568 nt
Filed under: Lacticaseibacillus paracasei
Lineage: Bacteria; Bacillati; Bacillota; Bacilli; Lactobacillales; Lactobacillaceae
Description: Lactobacillus paracasei 16S ribosomal RNA
Source: RNAcentral